UGGGGAAUAUUGGACAAUGGGCGCAAGCCUGAUCCAGCAAUGCCGCGUGUGUGAAGAAGGCCCUCGGGUUGUAAAGCACUUUUAUCAGGAGCGAAAUCUGCAAGGUUAAUACCUUUGCAGUCUGACGGUACCUGAGGAAUAAGCACCGGCUAACUCCGUGCCAGCAGCCGCGGUAAUACGGAGGGUGCAAGCGUUAAUCGGAAUUACUGGGCGUAAAGCGUGCGUAGGCGGUUCGUUAAGUCUGCUGUGAAAGCCCCGGGCUCAACCUGGGAAUGGCAGUGGAUACUGGCGAGCUAGAGUGUGAUAGAGGAUGGUGGAAUUCCCGGUGUAGCGGUGAAAUGCGUAGAGAUCGGGAGGAACAUCAGUGGCGAAGGCGGCCAUCUGGAUCAACACUGACGCU
RNAcentral lists this ribosomal RNA (400 nucleotides) under uncultured bacterium. RNAcentral describes it as "bacterial SSU rRNA". It matches the Rfam family "Bacterial small subunit ribosomal RNA", at positions 355 to 747 of the family's 1533-position model. The record is from RNAcentral.